ACUAAUAUCCCCUCAAACGUGCAAAGGCAGUAACUUUUUGGAUAAACUACUCUAACCUGAGUGACUUUGGUAGACAAUUUGCUAUUGGCAACUGGUAACAUAACACACACUGAUAUAAAUGGCAAAUAUAGUAGUACCCUGCUGUUUAUUUUUUGUACAAGCUUCUGGUGCUCAAAGUCACUGACUACUCUGGGGUUUCAUACCAAAGGAUAGGGGUUCCAUUCCGAAAUAUCGAACCUGAGACCUCUUCUUGAGAGUAGAGAAGCCUUAACCAUUCCACCACGUCGUGUGGUGAUAGUAACCUUUCUUUCGUUAAAUAAGUAACCUUAUUUACAUACACUCCACACUCAUAAUAUAUGUCUAGAGAAUGAAUGAACAAAUCAGAAGUUUGAGGUUUAGGUUGUGAGAAUAGGAGGAAGAAAAUUGGAUUUGGUACCAAGAAUAGGUGCUUUGGUGUCAGGAAAGCAUUCUACUCCAGGUAUUUCAGUGACCUCUCCAUUUUCAGUAAUACCAAUAGGGUAAGUAAGAAGGUGUCCAGGCAAAUCAUGAACAAGGCUCUCACUUGAAUACAUAUCCCAAUAUUUAUCACCAAUUUUGUUCACCUUUCGGAUGCAUUCUACGCUCUCUGGUUGAAGGAAACUGUUGUCUAACAUGCCUAAGUGCUCGUACCACAGUGCCAUUCGGAACCCAUGAACCUGACCCCUCGCUGGCUCCUUUGCAUAUAGAUGAAAUGGUUGGUAGGCUCCCAUUGCUAUUUCUGAAUCUCUUGCACCAUCCAUUGACCUUUGAUUGAUGUUAGCUGAUCCAAUGAUAAUGUAUUCAUCAUCCACUAUCAUCAUUUUUGCAUGAACGUAAAUCAUGAAACGUCUGGCUUCUUGAGCUUUUUGAUAGUCUGAAUCCGGUUCUGGUGAUUCAGAAGGCUCAUAUUCUCCUGUCUUCUUUGUUUCUCUAUUGCCAAGGCAAAAGAAACUCAAGUAGUCUUUAGGAUUUGCCACAAUUCCUUUCGCUUUAAGAGCUUGAAUUAUAUCGGUGUACAUCAUUUUCAUGGUUCUCCUUUGCCAAUCCAGUAUUGCUUGUACAGAUGCACUCUCAGGAAGACCUUCUGGCCACAUUGGAACCACAACAUAGACCGUAAACCUUUCCCCUGCUUCAAUCUUGCUAACUAUCUUCAGAGACAACUCCUUUGGGAUCAAAUGUAGAGCAUUAAUUUCUUCAUCCUUGAUAUCAUCUGAGUACCAUGAAAAGGAGCUUCCUAAGAAGUAUUGGUUUUCAAUAUAAAUGAAAUGAUUUGCUCGACGAAUGGCAUUAAUAUAUCCAUCUUGUAUGCUUCGAUCAAUGAUGUUGUCCUUGCCACUUAUAAGACCAGACUUGGCUGCCUCCUCAGGAGCAUCGGGGAAGCCAAAAGCUGCUCCCCCAUCAAUGGAUCGAAAAACUUGAACAUUCCAUGUGUCAUGAUCAUCAGGGUACAUAGCAGGUGAAGGUGGUAUAAUUAUACUCUCGAUAUCCCUUAGGUUCAUAAGCAAGUCCUUUCCACCUUGCUUCCUCCACCUCUGUUCAAAAUUGAAGAGCACAUCCCAAGCUGCUGGCCCUUCUAUUCGGCAAUGGAUAUCGUGCCAAGGCUCUCUUGGUCCACCUUUUUGAAUUGAAGCACCAGUGAAAUUUGGUUGGUGAAAAUCAUCAUGAUGUGCUGUGUCCAAAGUCCUGAAAAGGGAGUGAAAUUGUGUAUCAUAUCUACCAUCACAAAGAUCAAUCCCACCAAUAUAACUCACAAUUCUCCGCCUCUCCGUGUCUCCAUUAGGCAAUUCUCCAUCAACAACUACAAUCUUUUGAUGAUGAGUAAACAUUGUUCCAAUCUCUAUAUUUUGAAUAAUGCUUCUUCCAUCAUCAGGAUUUCGAGGACACAACACACAAUGUACUUCCGAGUUUUCAAAAUAAGCAGCAGUUUCUUGAUCAUGAGUAGCCAUUAGCCCAUCUUCUUUCAACACAGGAACUGAUGUUCUGUCAUCCCAGACUAGCAUUAGAACUCUCACACCUUCAUUAGCUUUCUUCUUAAGCAACUCCCCGAGCGUUAUGUCUCCACCAGGCUUAGGCCUCCUCAUGUCCCUUAUCAAAGUAAUCUCCGUAUAAACAGACCAUCCAGUUAUGUAAAUCAAAUGCUUUGCAUUAGUGAUUGCAUCGAAAAUAUCUUCCCAACAUCUUUGUGGCUCAUAAAAGUUGCCACCAGCAAGAGGAAUUUUUGGGACAAAGUUAUCAGGAACAUGAGAAUCUUGGUAAAGGGUGAUCUUGCAACCUUGUCUUUGACUAAAGAAUGUGUAAGGAACUCCAGGAAAUCUUGUAACUCUUAUCCCUCUAUUCCAAUUAUACUCCCUUGUGACAUCAAAAUACUGCAACUUCACAUGAAUUUUAGAGUGUCCAUGCACUGGUUUUCGUUCUGUAUCGAGGAUUUCAAGCCAUUCAUCAACAACUUCUCCAACUAUCAAUUGUUCAACUGGUAAGUAAGCUCUUCCAAUGAGUUCUGCUCCAAUUGGAUUAUCAGCUUUGACAGUGAAUACGACAUCAGAAGCCAUAUGAGCACAGUAAAUGUGGAAUGACUCAUACCAUCGCGGAUUUUUGUGUUCAUCGAGCAAUCUGGUUCUGCCAACUCUGGCUUUUCCAAGAUCAAUGGUUGCAUACAGUGUUGAUGCUGUCUUGUUGAAGCCAAUAGCUCCUUCAAUGCCUUGAACCACCUACAACAAAAUGGAACUUAUUGAAAAUUUCUCUUCCAAAAUUAGUACGAAGCUUAUCAACCUCAAAUAUAGUAACAUGAAGUGUGCCAUGUAGCAAAAUUUGUGCCAUCUUCCUUCCCUCCAAUUAAUCCACUUCACUUAGUUUAUAACUUGAGCUGAUAAAGAAAAUCUUUAGAUAAGAAUAAGAUGAGAGGAGAUCAAUAGAAGCCUCACGUAUAUUUUUACAUAUAUGUAGUGAGAGGGAUAUCUUUUAGAAUGAACUAACUAAAUGCAAAGGCGAAAUAAAAAAUUUAACAUAAAGUGUGGUUUUUUUU
RNAcentral lists this unclassified non-coding RNA (3040 nucleotides) under Hevea brasiliensis (rubber tree). Lineage: Eukaryota; Viridiplantae; Streptophyta; Magnoliopsida; Malpighiales; Euphorbiaceae. The record is from RNAcentral.